GAGCAGUGACGGAAAAAAGGGGGAGGAAAAGUUUUACCUGCUCUGCUCCACUCUUCAUAACGUUGACUGCACUCUCCGUUUCCUCCCGUCCCCCCAUUCCGCCCCCAAUCCACCCCACCCCGCCCAUGUUCUUCCCAGUUCCCCAUAAUUUACGGGGCGGAUAGAAUAAUCCUCCGUCCUCCGUCCUCAGAUCUCAUCUCUGCAUAUCUAGGAAGCAUUGAGGCGGGUGGUGGUUGUGGAGGAGUCGAGUCGGCUCAUCCGUUUGUUCUUGUUCUAGGUCUGGUUUGUUGACAUGGAGAGCUACCUCAACGACAAUUUUGGGGGCGUCAAGUCGAAGAACUCGUCGGAGGACGCGCUCCGGCGAUGGCGGAAGCUCUGCAGCGUCGUCAAGAACCCCAAGCGCCGCUUCCGCUUCACCGCCAACCUCUCCAAGCGCUCCGAGGCCGAGGCCAUGAAGAAAACCAACCAGGAGAAAUUGCGGAUUGCUGUUUUGGUUUCAAAAGCUGCACUACAGUUUAUACAGGGAAUCACAUUACGUAGUGAAUAUGUCGUACCUGAUAUGGUAAAGGCAGCAGGUUUUCAGAUUGGUGCUGAUGAGUUGGGAUCUAUUGUCGAAGGCCAUGAUGUGAAGAAGUUGAAAAUGCAUGGUGGCGUGGACGGCAUUGGAAAUAAGCUUUCCACAUCUACAACUAAUGGACUGACUACCACCGAGGAUAGGUUAAAGAGGAGGCAAGAGAUUUAUGGUAUAAAUAAGUUCACUGAAAGCAAGGUCCGGAGUUUUUGGGUAUUUGUAUGGGAAGCGCUUCAAGACACUACAUUGAUAAUUCUCGCGGCUUGUGCCUUCAUAUCUCUAGUUGUUGGCAUUGCCAUGGAAGGAUGGCCAAAAGGUGCCCAUGAUGGCCUUGGAAUUGUCGCAAGCAUCCUGUUAGUUGUGUUUGUCACUGCAACGAGCGACUACAGGCAGUCUUUACAAUUCAAAGAUUUGGAUAAGGAGAAAAAGAAGAUUUCUAUACAAGUGACACGCGAUGGUUUCAGACAGAAGAUUUCUAUUUAUGAUCUUGUUCCUGGUGAUAUCGUGCAUUUAUCAAUUGGGGAUCAAGUCCCUGCUGAUGGGCUUUUUAUAUCUGGAUAUUCCUUAUUGAUCAAUGAAUCAAGUCUGACGGGUGAGAGUGAACCUGUUUGUGUAAAUGCAGAAUACCCUUUUCUUCUGUCUGGGACUAAAGUCCAGGAUGGAUAUUGUAAAAUGUUGGUAACGACCGUUGGCAUGAGAACACAAUGGGGUAAGCUGCUUGCUACACUCAGUGAAGGAGGAGAUGAUGAAACUCCAUUACAGGUCAAACUGAAUGGAGUUGCAACUAUCAUUGGAAAAAUUGGUUUGUUUUUUGCAGUAAUAACAUUUGCAGUGCUGGCUCAAAGCCUUGUUAGUCGGAAAUAUCACGACGGCCUGCUAUUGAGCUGGUCAGGCGAUGAUGCACUGGAGAUGUUGGAAUUUUUUGCUAUUGCAGUCACAAUUGUUGUGGUUGCAGUUCCAGAAGGGCUUCCCUUAGCUGUGACAUUGAGCCUUGCUUUUGCAAUGAAGAAGAUGAUGAAUGAUAAGGCACUAGUCCGCCACCUUGCAGCUUGUGAAACUAUGGGCUCAGCGACAACAAUUUGUAGUGACAAAACUGGAACGCUGACAACCAAUCAUAUGACUGUUGUAAAAGCUUGUAUCUGCAGAAAUGUCGUGGAAGUAAAUAGUUGUGAGAAAGUUGAUGACUUAAGCUCCUAUGUCCCAGAUUCUGCACGUAAAACUCUUUUACAAUCCAUUUUUAAUAACACAGGUGGUGAGGUGGUGACCAACCAGGAUGGAAAGCUUGAAAUCUUGGGAACACCAACAGAGACUGCCUUGUUGGAACUGGGUUUAUCACUGGGUGGGGAUUUUCAGGCACAACGUCAGGAAACUAAGCUUGUUAAAGUUGAGCCCUUUAAUUCCAUAAAGAAGAGAAUGGGGGUGGUGCUCCAACUUUCUGAAGGAGGAUACUGUGCACACUGUAAAGGUGCUUCUGAGAUAAUUUUGGGCGCUUGCGACAAUUAUGUAGAUCCCUCAGGUAAUGUCGUGCCUCUUGAUGAAGCAGCUCUGAAUCUUCUUAAGAGCACAAUUGAUAGUUUUGCUGGCGAAGCUCUUCGAACUCUGUGCCUUGCAUAUAAGGAAAUUGGCGACAAUUUCUCUGCUGAGGAUAAAAUUUCAUUCGAAGGAUAUACAUGUAUUGGAAUUGUAGGAAUCAAGGAUCCUGUCCGUCCGGGUGUCAAGGAGUCUGUUGCAACUUGUAGGGCUGCAGGAAUUACUGUGAGAAUGGUUACAGGAGACAACAUAAAUACAGCAAAAGCAAUUGCUAGGGAAUGUGGUAUUCUCACUGAUGAGGGUGUAGCUAUAGAAGGUCCAGAGUUCCGUGAGAAGAAUCUGGAAGAAUUGAUGGAACUGAUUCCAAAAAUUCAGGUAAUGGCCAGAUCUUCACCAUUAGAUAAGCAUACCUUAGUAAAACACUUGCGGACCAUCUUCAAUGAAGUUGUUGCUGUGACUGGUGAUGGCACAAAUGAUGCUCCUGCACUUCACGAGGCAGAUAUUGGACUUGCAAUGGGCAUUGCAGGAACCGAGGUAGCUAAAGAAAGUGCUGAUGUCAUAAUUCUAGAUGACAAUUUCUCGACAAUUGUGACUGUGGCAAAAUGGGGACGUUCUAUAUACAUUAACAUUCAAAAGUUUGUACAGUUUCAGCUUACGGUUAAUGUGGUCGCUCUAGUUGUUAAUUUCUCCUCAGCCUGCUGGUCAGGAAAUGCUCCACUUACUGCUGUUCAGCUACUUUGGGUGAACAUGAUUAUGGACACCUUAGGAGCAUUAGCAUUAGCCACUGAACCACCACGUGAUGACUUGAUGCAAAGAGCACCAGUUGGAAGGACUGGGAAAUUUAUCAACAACACAAUGUGGAGAAAUAUCCUGGGACAAUCAAUAUACCAAUUCAUCACAAUAUGGUAUCUCCAGACACAGGGAAAAUGGUUAUUUCAGCUUGAUGGCCCUGACACCGAUCUUACUCUUAACACUAUCACAUUCAAUUCGUUUGUUUUCUGUCAGGUGUUCAAUGAGAUAAGCUCUAGAGAGAUGGAGAAGAUAAAUGUAUUCCGGGGCAUCUUGCAGAACUAUGUCUUUCUGGCCGUUCUCAUCAGCACCGUCGUCUUUCAAUUUAUAAUUGUCCAAUUUCUUGGGGACUUUGCAAACACGAUACCACUUACAAUGUCACAGUGGUUUGUAACUGUUUUCCUUGGGUUCUUAGGAAUGCCCAUUGCUGCAGUCGUCAAGUUAUUACCAGUAGGGUCUCUUUAAGGAUCAUGCAGCAGAGGUCAGGUAAACAUGCCUAAAUUGCUUUUUGCUGUUUUUCCAAGUUGCUUCUUUUUGAUCCCCACAUGGAAAGAUCUACAGCAUCAGUUUCUUGGUUUCUAUGACGGGAAGCUACAAGUGGAAGUAAAGCCCCCUCCUUGACAACACUUCCAUUCUUGGAUUUUUCUUUGUUGUGGCACAUUGUUAAAGAUUUUGUUCGAAACUCUUUUAUCAGAAAGAGGAAGAUGACUCAUGUAAGGUUUUACACAUUGGUGGUAUUGGACAUACUUCAUGGAUAUGAUAGAUUGCUGGCUAUGCAGAUUUAACUUAACACUCUCGAUAAUAAAUGAACAUGGAUGGAUGUGGUUAUAUUUCACCUGAUGAUAAAAGAAAGGUACUUUUAAAUGACUAGUGGGACCCCAACCUGGUUGUUAGCCUUUGAUUUGGGUUCCCGCUGGUGGUGCAUGCAAAUACGACAAAGUCGGCCGCAUACUAAAGGGAAGAUACAAGUGGGACAAAUGGAGAUUGGACUCCUCUCUCCCUCUCUCUCGCUUCUCCUUCCGUCUCAUCCAAACCCACCCCAAUCUUCCUCCGAUGGGACCUCCCCCGAUUCCAGCGAUCGCUUCCUCGUCUCAUCUUGCGACAGGGUUCGUCCGCUCUUUCUAUCUAGGACGUGAGGUCGAAUGCUCUACUGGGACGGUUUUCAUCCGAGGAUCGGUGCCCCGUUGCUGCUUCCGCGACGACCUCUCGGUGUUCGCCGCCUGCUCGGAUCGGAAGGUCCGACUAAUUCCUUUGGCUCAGGUCUAGCCUCGCCAAUGGCUGGGAAUUAAAAUCUGGAAUGCACGAAGAAAGCUCCAACGAGAUUCAUCGAAUACUCUUCUUCUUCUUCUUUUGUUUUUUUUCAUCUUCCCAGCUAUUUAUUAGUGGAUAGGCUAAGAAAGUUUAGGAUUUGGAGUCAAUUAAUAUUAGCAGUAAAUUAACAUGGAAUCAGUUAUGUUGUACGCUUUAAAUAACUGACUCUUUCCAACAGUGAAACAUAUUUGAAUCAA
Molecule: RNA transcript, 4398 nt
Organism: Musa acuminata AAA Group (dessert banana)
Lineage: Eukaryota; Viridiplantae; Streptophyta; Magnoliopsida; Zingiberales; Musaceae
Gene name: calcium-transporting ATPase 10, plasma membrane-type-like
Exons: 10
Source: RefSeq, a predicted model, not a curated record